This 567-nucleotide ribosomal RNA is filed under the name uncultured Glomeromycotina. Its description in RNAcentral is "SSU rRNA". It matches the Rfam family "Eukaryotic small subunit ribosomal RNA", at positions 548 to 1114 of the family's 1831-position model. Lineage: Eukaryota; Fungi; Glomeromycota. The record is from RNAcentral.
UUGGAGGGCAAGUCUGGUGCCAGCAGCCGCGGUAAUUCCAGCUCCAAUAGCGUAUAUUAAAGUUGUUGCAGUUAAAAAGCUCGUAGUUGAACUUCGGGGUCUACCCAUUGGUCAGGCUUAAUUGUCUGUACUGGUGAGAUGGAUCUCUACCUUCUGAGGAACUUUCAUGCCAUUUAUUUGGUGUGAUUGGAAAUCAGAACUGUUACUUUGAAAAAAUUAGAGUGUUUAAAGCAGACUAUCGUCUGAAUACAUUAGCAUGGAAUAAUGAAAUAGGACGGACUGAUUCUAUUUCGUUGGUUUCUAGGAUCACCGUAAUGAUUAAUAGGGAUAGUUGGGGGCAUUAGUAUUCAAUUGUCAGAGGUGAAAUUCUUGGAUUUAUUGAAGACUAGCUACUGCGAAAGCAUUUGCCAAGGAUGUUUUCAUUAAUCAAGAACGAAAGUUAGGGGAUCGAAGACGAUCAGAUACCGUCGUAGUCUUAACCAUAAACUAUGCCGACUAGGAAUCAGACGAUGUUAAUUUUUUAAUGACUCGUUUGGCACCUUACGGGAAACCAAAGUGUUUGGGUUC